This 449-nucleotide ribosomal RNA is filed under the name uncultured bacterium. Its description in RNAcentral is "partial 16S ribosomal RNA". It matches the Rfam family "Bacterial small subunit ribosomal RNA", at positions 354 to 796 of the family's 1533-position model. The record is from RNAcentral.
GUCGAGAAUCUUUCACAAUGGGGGCAACCCUGAUGGAGCGACGCCGCGUGGAGGAUAAGGUCUUCGGAUUGUAAACUCCUGUCAUGCGUGAACAAGGUUGCUUGGUUAAUACCUGGGCAAAUUGAUGGUAACGCAAGAGGAAGAGACGGCUAACUCUGUGCCAGCAGCCGCGGUAAUACAGAGGUCUCAAGCGUUGUUCGGAAUCACUGGGCGUAAAGGGUGCGUAGGUGGCGAGGUAAGUCAGAUGUGAAAGCCCGGGGCUCAACGUCGGAACUGCAUCCGAUACUGCCAUGCUAGAGUACUGGAGAGGUGACUAGAAUUCUCGGUGUAGCAGUGAAAUGCGUAGAUAUCGAGAGGAAUACCAAAGGCGUAGGCAGGUCACUGGACAGUUACUGACACUGAGGCACGAAGGCCAGGGGAGCGAACGGGAUUAGAUACCCUAGUAGUCC